RNAcentral lists this ribosomal RNA (465 nucleotides) under uncultured bacterium. Its description in RNAcentral is "partial 16S ribosomal RNA". It matches the Rfam family "Bacterial small subunit ribosomal RNA", at positions 339 to 795 of the family's 1533-position model. The record is from RNAcentral.
CUACGGGUUGCUGCAGUCGAGAAUAAUUCGCAAUGCGCGAAAGCGUGACGAUGCGACGCUGCGUGGAGGAUGAAGGCCCUCGGGUCGUAAACUCCUGUCAGGAGGGAAAAGCCGGCACUUGGUCAAUACCCUUGUGCCCCGAUGGUACCUCCAGAGGAAGCCACGGCUAACUCUGUGCCAGCAGCCGCGGUAAUACAGAGGGGGCGAGCGUUGUUCGGAUUUACUGGGCGUAAAGGGUGCGUAGGCGGCGUGCAAAGCUGGAUGUGAAAUCCCGGGGCUCAACCCCGGAACUGCAUCCGGAACUGGCAUGCUAGAGACCAGGAGGGGAGAGCAGAAUUCUAGGUGUAGCGGUGAAAUGCGUUGAUAUCUAGAAGAAUACCGGUGGCGAAGGCGGCUCUCUGGAAUGGUUCUGACGCUGAGGCACGAAAGCGUGGGGAGCAAAUAGGAUUAGAUACCCUGGUAGUC